UUUCCGUAGGUGAACCUGCGGAAGGAUCAUUACACGAUAGGCGGGGGGUUCGCCCCCUGCCCCCGAUUCGUCGGGACACCCUGUCUCUUGAGUACCGAACGUUUCCUCGGCGGGCCCGCCCGCCAACGGGGACCUCGAAAACCACUUGUAAUAAGCAGUAACAGUCGUAAAUACAAUCGUAUCAAAACUUUCAACAAUGGAUCUCUUGGCUCUGGCAUCGAUGAAGAACGCAGC
RNAcentral lists this unclassified non-coding RNA (234 nucleotides) under uncultured fungus. RNAcentral describes it as "sequence contains ITS1, 5.8S rRNA gene". The stretch from base 186 to 234 matches the Rfam family "5.8S ribosomal RNA", at positions 1 to 49 of the family's 154-position model. The record is from RNAcentral. Lineage: Eukaryota; Fungi.